This 412-nucleotide ribosomal RNA is filed under the name uncultured bacterium. Its description in RNAcentral is "bacterial SSU rRNA". It matches the Rfam family "Bacterial small subunit ribosomal RNA", at positions 360 to 773 of the family's 1533-position model. The record is from RNAcentral.
AAUAUUGCGCAAUGGACGAAAGUCUGACGCAGCGACGCCGCGUGUGGGAUGAAGCCUUUCGGGGUGUACACCACUGUUGCCCGGGACGAAAUGCCCUUUCGAGGGAAUUGACGGUACCGGGUGAGGAAGCACCGGCUAACUCUGUGCCAGCAGCCGCGGUAAUACAGAGGGUGCGAGCGUUGUCCGGAAUCACUGGGCGUAAAGGGCGCGUAGGUGGCUUGGUAAGCGUGUGGUGAAAGUCCGGGGCUCAACCCCGGAUCUGCCGUGCGAACUGCCGAGCUGGAGCAAUGUAGAGGCGGGUGGAAUUUCGGGUGUAGCGGUGGAAUGCGUAGAUAUCCGAAAGAACACCGGUGGCGAAGGCGGCCCGCUGGGCAUUUGCUGACACUGAGGCGCGACAGCGUGGGGAGCAAAC